Molecule: ribosomal RNA, 499 nt
Filed under: uncultured bacterium
Lineage: Bacteria
Description: partial 16S ribosomal RNA
Rfam family: Bacterial small subunit ribosomal RNA
Source: RNAcentral
GACGAACGCUGGCGGCGUGCCUAAUACAUGCAAGUCGUGCGGACCUUUUAAAAGCUUGCUUUUAAAAGGUUAGCCGCGGACGGGUGAGUAACACGUGGGCAACCUGCCUGUAAGACUGGGAUAACGCCGGGACACCGGGGCUAAUACCAGAUCGUCUUUUCCUCCGCAUGGAGGGAAAAGGAAAGGCGGCUUCGGCUGCCACUUACAGGUGGGCCCGCGGCGGAUUAGCUAGUGGGCGGGGUCACGGCCCCCCAAGGCAACGAUGCGUAGCCGACGGGAGGGGGUGGUCGGCCAGAUUGGGACGGAGACACGGCCCAAACUCCUACGGGAGGCAGCAGUAGGGAAUCUUCCGCAAGGGGCGAAAGUCUGACGGAGCAACGCCGCGGGAGUGAAGAGGGCCGUCGGGUCGGAAAACUCUGUUGCCGGGGAAGAACAAGUGCCGUUCGAACAGGGCGGCGGCGUGACGGUACCCGGCCAGAAAGCCACGGCUAACUACGUG